GAUGAACGCUGGCGGCGUGCCUAAUACAUGCAAUUCGAGCGAACAGACGAUGCUCUUGCUCCUCUUACGUUUGCGGCGGUCGUGUGAGUCACACGUGUCUACCCUACCUUUUUUUCUUGUAUCACUUCGCGAUCCCUUAUCUAAUAUCGGUUCUUAUAUUGAACCUCUUGGUUCUUUAGUUCUUUCCUUUUUUUCUGUCCCUUUUUCAUUUUUCCGCGAUGGAUUAGCUAGUUGGUAAGGUAACGGCUUACCAAGGCUACGAUGGGUUGCCGACCUGAGAGGGUGAUCGGACACACUGGAACUGAGACACGGACCAGACAACUACGGGAGGCAGCAGUAGGGAAGAUUCGGCAAUGGGCGAAAGCAUGACGGAGCAAAGCCGCGUGAGUGAAGAAGGUCUUAGGAUCGUAAAACACUGUAAUUAGGGAAGAACAAAAGUGAAAGAAAAUAUGGACGUAGUGACGGUACCAAAACAGAAAGCAACGGCUAACUACGUG
This 497-nucleotide ribosomal RNA is filed under the name uncultured bacterium. RNAcentral describes it as "partial 16S ribosomal RNA". It matches the Rfam family "Bacterial small subunit ribosomal RNA", at positions 28 to 507 of the family's 1533-position model. The record is from RNAcentral.